ACCCGCUGAGUUUAAGCAUAUCAAUAAGCGGAGGAAAAGAAACUUACCAGGAUUCCCCUAGUAACGGCGAGCGAACCGGGAAGAGCCCAGCUUGAAAAUCGGGCGUCCGCGACGCCCGAAUUGUAGUCUGG
Molecule: ribosomal RNA, 131 nt
Filed under: Swietenia mahagoni (West Indian mahogany)
Lineage: Eukaryota; Viridiplantae; Streptophyta; Magnoliopsida; Sapindales; Meliaceae
Description: partial 26S ribosomal RNA
Rfam family: Eukaryotic large subunit ribosomal RNA
Source: RNAcentral